RNAcentral lists this ribosomal RNA (427 nucleotides) under uncultured Acidobacterium sp. Its description in RNAcentral is "bacterial SSU rRNA". It matches the Rfam family "Bacterial small subunit ribosomal RNA", at positions 958 to 1385 of the family's 1533-position model. The record is from RNAcentral. Lineage: Bacteria; Pseudomonadati; Acidobacteriota; Terriglobia; Terriglobales; Acidobacteriaceae.
AACGCGAAGAACCUUACCUGGGCUCGAAAUGGAGUGGACCGGGGUGGAAACAUCCCUUCCCCGCAAGGGGCUGCUCUAUAGGUGCUGCAUGGCUGUCGUCAGCUCGUGUCGUGAGAUGUUGGGUUAAGUCCCGCAACGAGCGCAACCCUUAUUACCAGUUGCCAUCAUUCAGUUGGGCACUCCGGUGAGACCGCCUCGGAUAACGGGGAGGAAGGCGGGGAUGACGUCAAGUCCUCAUGGCCUUUAUGUCCAGGGCUACACACGUGCUACAAUGGCCGGUACAAACCGUCGCAAACCCGCGAGGGGGAGCUAAUCGGAAAAAGCCGGCCUCAGUUCGGAUCGCAGUCUGCAACUCGACUGCGUGAAGCUGGAAUCGCUAGUAAUCGCGGAUCAGAACGCCGCGGUGAAUACGUUCCCGGGCCUUGUA